Sardina pilchardus (European sardine) is the source of this 1043-nucleotide long non-coding RNA. RefSeq lists it as uncharacterized. The record is from RefSeq and is a predicted model, not a curated record. The transcript is spliced from 4 exons. Lineage: Eukaryota; Metazoa; Chordata; Actinopteri; Clupeiformes; Clupeidae.
GAUGAUUGAUGAAAGGAUACCCUGAAAAUCCAGAGUUCUUGCGAGAGCACAGUUGGAGUUUUCUCUGCGAGUCACUCUGACAGCCAUGAUACUCAGUCAUACCCACCCAUGCCAUUGGCGGGCCAGAGGCGAGCUAAACAGACGAUGACAGCACUGCUGAAGUCCAGAGUCAGUCAGUAAACAGUGAUCAUAGUGUUAUUGUGCAGUGAUAUCUCAAAAGAUGUAAUAUGCAAUGUGACAUUUUCAAAUAAAAGUAGAUCUAUUUGAACAGAUCUAAGAUGCUUCCUCUGAAAAAACAGGUUGUGCCAAACGUCUUUCCAAUUCAUCUGCAGUAACAGUACUUGCAGAAAUGCAGAUAAUAGGCUUUAACUCCCACCACAGCCAGGUCGUAGUUCACAAUCCAUUGUAAAAAAAUAAUGAGUUGGGUUGGGAUAAUUUGGUGCGUGGAGGAAGUCAGGAGCUGAGAUCUCAAGCAUCAUGUCCUCGCGUUAAGUGGGUUCAGUAGGAAGUGCUCAGCGCUUUGUUAAGUACAGCUGCAGCAAUCUUUGCACUAUUUCUGCCUUUGUGCACCGACAGCCUGAUCUCACAGCACGUUGCUGACAGAUAACGGUCGAGAUGAAACCACUGUUCUGUGCCUUUAUCUUCCUGCUGGUAUGCUGCAUUGUCAUCAAUGCAGAUGAAGUUAAGGCAGGAAAUGAGACUUCUACAAAUUCUAAGACAAAUGGUGCCAGCUCUAUGGAUGGACUAUGCGUAAUACAGUUGCUGAUGGCCUUGAUUCCUGCUAUUCUCUGCCAAGCGUUUUAGCACUAUUCAUCACCCAACAUGAAUCAUGGAAGAAAGCACUCCUGGCGUGAAAUAGUGGAAUAUAGGCUAGCCUACAUCUUUGGAUCAUGAAAAACAUGAAGUGUCUGAGACAGAACCUGAGACGGAAGACACUGGCAUGUAGUAGGCUAAAACAAUGGUCAUAGCUAAGUUGGAUCCAUCAAAUGACCUGAAAUUGUAAAACCACAGCAGAUGAAUAAAAGUUGUUUUAAUUACAUAAA